RNAcentral lists this ribosomal RNA (328 nucleotides) under uncultured eukaryote. RNAcentral describes it as "partial 18S ribosomal RNA". It matches the Rfam family "Eukaryotic small subunit ribosomal RNA", at positions 1470 to 1796 of the family's 1831-position model. The record is from RNAcentral.
CCCUUAGAUGUCCGGGGCUGCACGCGCGCUACACUGAAGGAAUCAGCGUGCUAAAACCAUUGUCGAAAGGCAUUGGUAAACCCAUUAAAAUCCUACGUGAUUGGGAUCGGGAAUUGCAAUUAUUUCCCUUGAACGAGGAACUCCCAGUAAGUGUGGGUCAUAAGCUCGCGUUGAUUACGUCCCUGCCCUUUGUACACACCGCCCGUCGCUGCCCGGGACUGAGCCGUUUCGAGAAAAGCGGGGACUGCUGCUGUCGGGGCUUUCGGGCCUUGGCUUCGGUGGAAACCGCUUUAAUCGCAGUGGCUUGAACCGGGCAAAAGUCGUAACA